AUUGUAAUGGCCUGCCGAGAAUUUGAGAUGGGAAGGAAAAAAUGUGAGCGCUAUUGGCCUUUGUAUGGAGAAGACCCCAUAACGUUUGCACCAUUUAAAAUUUCUUGUGAGGAUGAACAAGCAAGAACAGACUACUUCAUCAGGACACUCUUACUUGAAUUUCAAAAUGAAUCUCGUAGGCUGUAUCAGUUUCAUUAUGUGAACUGGCCAGACCAUGAUGUUCCUUCAUCAUUUGAUUCUAUUCUGGACAUGAUAAGCUUAAUGAGGAAGUAUCAAGAACAUGAAGAUGUUCCUAUUUGUAUUCAUUGCAGGUACAAAAGAAUUUCCCAAGUUUAUAAAUACAUUAUUUUUAUUUAAGUUUGAUGUUACACAAGGUUUUAUUUCUGCAUUAAUAUGAUAGUAAUCUUGAAUUUCUCCUAGCCUUGAUAUAAUGUUUGGGACUGGGGCCUUGUAAGUUGAUGUGGUCUCAUUU
This 472-nucleotide small RNA is filed under the name Pongo abelii (Sumatran orangutan). RNAcentral's name for it is "retained intron". The record is from RNAcentral. Lineage: Eukaryota; Metazoa; Chordata; Mammalia; Primates; Hominidae.